GUGGGGAAUCUUGCGCAAUGGGCGAAAGCCUGACGCAGCCAUGCCGCGUGAAUGAUGAAGGUCUUAGGAUUGUAAAAUUCUUUCACCGGGGACGAUAAUGACGGUACCCGGAGAAGAAGCUCCGGCUAACUUCGUGCCAGCAGCCGCGGUAAUACGAAGGGGGCUAGCGUUGCUCGGAAUUACUGGGCGUAAAGGGCGCGUAGGCGGACAGCUUAGUCAGAGGUGAAAGCCCAGGGCUCAACCUUGGAAUUGCCUUUGAUACUGGCUGUCUUGAGUUUGGGAGAGGUGAGUGGAACUCCGAGUGUAGAGGUGAAAUUCGUAGAUAUUCGGAGGAACACCAGUGGCGAAGGCGGCUCACUGGCUCGAUACUGACGCUGAGGUGCGAAAGCGUGGGGAGCAAACAGGAUUAGAAACCCGUGUAGUCC
This 425-nucleotide ribosomal RNA is filed under the name uncultured bacterium. RNAcentral's name for it is "partial 16S ribosomal RNA". It matches the Rfam family "Bacterial small subunit ribosomal RNA", at positions 354 to 796 of the family's 1533-position model. The record is from RNAcentral.